Long non-coding RNA from Xenia sp. Carnegie-2017, 281 nucleotides. RefSeq lists it as uncharacterized. The record is from RefSeq and is a predicted model, not a curated record. Lineage: Eukaryota; Metazoa; Cnidaria; Anthozoa; Malacalcyonacea; Xeniidae. The transcript is spliced from 2 exons.
GGUUGCCCGAGUGGUAGCUCCAAAGAAGGAAGCUUUGGCUGCUGCUGAGGCUGAGUUAGCUGUGGCUAUGGAGGUUGACGUUAAAAAAUUGAGGAUUCUUCGCAUCGGGAGACCUUUAUUAUUCGAUGUUCGCGACGUGUUAAUCUGAAGGAGGUCAUCACUAGAAAGGCUGUAAACGUUCGUCGUCCUCUACUAGGGUUUGGAGAAGAAGCGGUCUGCGCUUCGUGAAGUCCAGGCUAAACUCGCGAGAUUGCAGGAGAAAUUUGAAGCAAACGUGAAAA